This is a non-coding RNA of Cajanus cajan (pigeon pea), 876 nucleotides long. Lineage: Eukaryota; Viridiplantae; Streptophyta; Magnoliopsida; Fabales; Fabaceae. The record is from RefSeq and is a predicted model, not a curated record.
CAGAAAAUCCCUCUUAUGGAACCUGUGGUGCAUGCUCGCUUCCGCGGCCAAGAUCGAGGCCAUGAUGGGGUUUUUUGGCAACAAAGAAAAUCUCACUCAAUGCUUCCUUCAAAACACGCGCAAUCCCCUCACCUACAAUAUCUAGGGUUUCCAAUUGAAUCGUUCGACUCAACAAAGAUUCAAUCCAUGGUAGGGAUUCUUGUGUGAUUGACGCUCGGCAGUGGUGUGGGUGGUGGUGGAGAUGAACGCGGCGUCGAUGGAGACGACGGAGGUGCUAAGGAAGAUGGGCGUGAUGUAUAGGCAUUUGGUUUGCAAGAAGAAUUCGACAGAUGUGAAGGACAGAGGGGUUCAUCAGAGGAACACGGCGUUGGAGCACAUUGAGCGCCAUAGGCUUGAUGGGAUUGUUUUCUUUGCGAACGAUGAUAAUGUGUAUUCUCUCGAGUUAUUUGAUGCCUUGAGAGACAUUAGAAGUUACUGAUCAUGGUCUGGUUCCAAGACACGUCAAGAAGGUUGCUAUCCUUGGUGGAGGACUAAUGGGCUCUGUACUUAUUGAGUUAGAGAAGAAAAAGAUUAGCACGUGCAUAAUAAUUGCGGCUGUAAUAGCAGCAGUUGCUUGUGUUUUAGCAAUAUCUGCAAUAAUCAUUCUCCUGAUGUCUAGAAGACAUAAGAAAUACCAGCCCAAGUUUUCCAGGAAACGGAUGUAGUGCCUCGGUGGAGCAGGCAAAGGCGCGGUUGUAAGAAAUAAAUAGCUCGUUACGUGUUUACUUUAUUUAAUUUUCCGUGCCCCGAUAUAUCUUCUAUCAAGUGGUAGGAAUUACACAAAUUGUUUUUGUGUAAUUUGUAAACAAAUUUCUAAAGCUAUAAUUAUAUAUGUUC